GUGCUCGCUUUGGCAGCACAUAUACUAAAAUUGGAACAAUACAGAAAAGAUUAGUAUGGCCCCUGCACAAGAAUGACAGCCAAACUCAUGAAGCAUUCCAUUUUUUUU
Molecule: small nuclear RNA, 108 nt
Filed under: Pan troglodytes (chimpanzee)
Lineage: Eukaryota; Metazoa; Chordata; Mammalia; Primates; Hominidae
Source: RNAcentral